RNAcentral lists this ribosomal RNA (424 nucleotides) under uncultured bacterium. RNAcentral's name for it is "partial 16S ribosomal RNA". It matches the Rfam family "Bacterial small subunit ribosomal RNA", at positions 360 to 776 of the family's 1533-position model. The record is from RNAcentral.
AAUUUUGGACAAUGGGGGAAACCCUGAUCCAGCCAUCCCGCGUGUAUGAUUAAGGCCUUCGGGUUGUAAAGUACGUUUGGCAGAGAAGAAAAUGUAUCCCCCAGUACGGGAUACUCCUGACGGUAUCUGCAUAUUAAGCACCGGCCAACUCCGUGCCAGCAGCCGCGGUAAUACGUAGGGUUCAGGCGUUAAUCGGAAUUACUGGGCGUAAAGCGUGUGUAGGCGGUUCGGAAAGAAAAAUGUGAAAUCCCAGGGCUCAACCUUGGAACUGCAUUUUUAACUGCAGAGCUAGAGUAUGUCAGAGGGGGGUAGAAUUCCACGUGUAGCAGUGAAAUGCGUAGGUAUGUGGAGGAAUACCGAUGGCGAAGGCAGCCCCCUGGGAUAAUACUGACGCUCAGACACGAAAGCGUGGGGAGCAAACAGG